Molecule: ribosomal RNA, 2930 nt
Filed under: Escherichia coli O157:H7
Lineage: Bacteria; Pseudomonadati; Pseudomonadota; Gammaproteobacteria; Enterobacterales; Enterobacteriaceae
Description: 23S ribosomal RNA
Rfam family: Bacterial large subunit ribosomal RNA
Source: RNAcentral
GGGUUGUGAGGUUAAGCGACUAAGCGUACACGGUGGAUGCCCUGGCAGUCAGAGGCGAUGAAGGACGUGCUAAUCUGCGAUAAGCGUCGGUAAGGUGAUAUGAACCGUUAUAACCGGCGAUUUCCGAAUGGGGAAACCCAGUGUGAUUCGUCACACUAUCAUUAACUGAAUCCAUAGGUUAAUGAGGCGAACCGGGGGAACUGAAACAUCUAAGUACCCGAGGAAAAGAAAUCAACCGAGAUUCCCCAGUAGCGGCGAGCGAACGGGGAGGAGCCCAGAGCCUGAAUCAGUGUGUGUGUUAGUGGAAGCGUCUGGAAAGGCGCGCGAUACAGGGUGACAGCCCCGUACACAAAAAUGCACAUGCUGUGAGCUCGAUGAGUAGGGCGGGACACGUGGUAUCCUGUCUGAAUAUGGGGGGACCAUCCUCCAAGGCUAAAUACUCCUGACUGACCGAUAGUGAACCAGUACCGUGAGGGAAAGGCGAAAAGAACCCCGGCGAGGGGAGUGAAAAAGAACCUGAAACCGUGUACGUACAAGCAGUGGGAGCACAGAGCAAUCUGUGUGACUGCGUACCUUUUGUAUAAUGGGUCAGCGACUUAUAUUCUGUAGCAAGGUUAACCGAAUAGGGGAGCCGAAGGGAAACCGAGUCUUAACCGGGCGUUAAGUUGCAGGGUAUAGACCCGAAACCCGGUGAUCUAGCCAUGGGCAGGUUGAAGGUUGGGUAACACUAACUGGAGGACCGAACCGACUAAUGUUGAAAAAUUAGCGGAUGACUUGUGGCUGGGGGUGAAAGGCCAAUCAAACCGGGAGAUAGCUGGUUCUCCCCGAAAGCUAUUUAGGUAGCGCCUCGUGAAUUCAUCUCCGGGGGUAGAGCACUGUUUCGGCAAGGGGGUCAUCCCGACUUACCAACCCGAUGCAAACUGCGAAUACCGGAGAAUGUUAUCACGGGAGACACACGGCGGGUGCUAACGUCCGUCGUGAAGAGGGAAACAACCCAGACCGCCAGCUAAGGUCCCAAAGUCAUGGUUAAGUGGGAAACGAUGUGGGAAGGCCCAGACAGCCAGGAUGUUGGCUUAGAAGCAGCCAUCAUUUAAAGAAAGCGUAAUAGCUCACUGGUCGAGUCGGCCUGCGCGGAAGAUGUAACGGGGCUAAACCAUGCACCGAAGCUGCGGCAGCGACACUGUGUGUUGUUGGGUAGGGGAGCGUUCUGUAAGCCUGUGAAGGUGUACUGUGAGGUAUGCUGGAGGUAUCAGAAGUGCGAAUGCUGACAUAAGUAACGAUAAAGCGGGUGAAAAGCCCGCUCGCCGGAAGACCAAGGGUUCCUGUCCAACGUUAAUCGGGGCAGGGUGAGUCGACCCCUAAGGCGAGGCCGAAAGGCGUAGUCGAUGGGAAACAGGUUAAUAUUCCUGUACUUGGUGUUACUGCGAAGGGGGGACGGAGAAGGCUAUGUUGGCCGGGCGACGGUUGUCCCGGUUUAAGCGUGUAGGCUGGUUUUCCAGGCAAAUCCGGAAAAUCAAGGCUGAGGCGUGAUGACGAGGCACUACGGUGCUGAAGCAACAAAUGCCCUGCUUCCAGGAAAAGCCUCUAAGCAUCAGGUAACAUCAAAUCGUACCCCAAACCGACACAGGUGGUCAGGUAGAGAAUACCAAGGCGCUUGAGAGAACUCGGGUGAAGGAACUAGGCAAAAUGGUGCCGUAACUUCGGGAGAAGGCACGCUGAUAUGUAGGUGAAGUCCCUCGCGGAUGGAGCUGAAAUCAGUCGAAGAUACCAGCUGGCUGCAACUGUUUAUUAAAAACACAGCACUGUGCAAACACGAAAGUGGACGUAUACGGUGUGACGCCUGCCCGGUGCCGGAAGGUUAAUUGAUGGGGUCAGCGCAAGCGAAGCUCUUGAUCGAAGCCCCGGUAAACGGCGGCCGUAACUAUAACGGUCCUAAGGUAGCGAAAUUCCUUGUCGGGUAAGUUCCGACCUGCACGAAUGGCGUAAUGAUGGCCAGGCUGUCUCCACCCGAGACUCAGUGAAAUUGAACUCGCUGUGAAGAUGCAGUGUACCCGCGGCAAGACGGAAAGACCCCGUGAACCUUUACUAUAGCUUGACACUGAACAUUGAGCCUUGAUGUGUAGGAUAGGUGGGAGGCUUUGAAGUGUGGACGCCAGUCUGCAUGGAGCCGACCUUGAAAUACCACCCUUUAAUGUUUGAUGUUCUAACGUGGACCCGUGAUCCGGGUUGCGGACAGUGUCUGGUGGGUAGUUUGACUGGGGCGGUCUCCUCCUAAAGAGUAACGGAGGAGCACGAAGGUUGGCUAAUCCUGGUCGGACAUCAGGAGGUUAGUGCAAUGGCAUAAGCCAGCUUGACUGCGAGCGUGACGGCGCGAGCAGGUGCGAAAGCAGGUCAUAGUGAUCCGGUGGUUCUGAAUGGAAGGGCCAUCGCUCAACGGAUAAAAGGUACUCCGGGGAUAACAGGCUGAUACCGCCCAAGAGUUCAUAUCGACGGCGGUGUUUGGCACCUCGAUGUCGGCUCAUCACAUCCUGGGGCUGAAGUAGGUCCCAAGGGUAUGGCUGUUCGCCAUUUAAAGUGGUACGCGAGCUGGGUUUAGAACGUCGUGAGACAGUUCGGUCCCUAUCUGCCGUGGGCGCUGGAGAACUGAGGGGGGCUGCUCCUAGUACGAGAGGACCGGAGUGGACGCAUCACUGGUGUUCGGGUUGUCAUGCCAAUGGCACUGCCCGGUAGCUAAAUGCGGAAGAGAUAAGUGCUGAAAGCAUCUAAGCACGAAACUUGCCCCGAGAUGAGUUCUCCCUGACCCUUUAAGGGUCCUGAAGGAACGUUGAAGACGACGACGUUGAUAGGCCGGGUGUGUAAGCGCAGCGAUGCGUUGAGCUAACCGGUACUAAUGAACCGUGAGGCUUAACCUUACAACGCCGAAGGUGUUU